GUGUGCGUGUGCAUACAGGGGAAGUCAUGCGUAUGUUAAUGAAUAUGGGCUGUGUUUGUAUAGGGGAUGUAUAUACAUUGUAAUUAAGAGAUCUAAAUUUUAUUCAUUUGGCUUCACUGCAUUCUGUGCUUGAAAUAUCAUUGUUUUAUUCAUUGUCUGUUUUUAAGUACAGUUUCAAACAAACAUGCAAAAUCAACAGACACAGACACACAAGCACACACACUUUAUA
This is a non-coding RNA of Pelobates cultripes (western spadefoot toad), 229 nucleotides long. The record is from the annotation of a GenBank genome assembly. Lineage: Eukaryota; Metazoa; Chordata; Amphibia; Anura; Pelobatidae.